Molecule: ribosomal RNA, 468 nt
Filed under: uncultured bacterium
Lineage: Bacteria
Description: partial 16S ribosomal RNA
Rfam family: Bacterial small subunit ribosomal RNA
Source: RNAcentral
GAUGAACGCUGGCGGCGUGCUUAACACAUGCAAGUCGAACGGUGAAGGCGGAGCUUGCUCUGCUGGACCAGUGGCGAACGGGUGAGUAACACGUGAGCAAUCUGCCCCUGACUCUGGGAUAAGCGCUGGAAACGGCGUCUAAUACUGGAUACGAGCUGCGAAGGCAUAUUCAGCAGCUGGAAAGAACUUCGGUCAGGGAUGGGCUCGCGGCCUAUCAGCUUGUUGGUGAGGUAACGGCUCACCAAGGCGUCGACGGGUAGCCGGCCUGAGAGGGUGACCGGCCACACUGGGACUGCGACACGGCCCAGACUCCUACGGGAGGCAGCGGUGGGGAAUAUUGCACAAUGGGCGAAAGCCUGAUGCAGCAGCGCCGCGUGAGGGACGACGGCCUUCGGGUUAUAAACCUCUUUUAGCAGAGAAGAAGCGAAAGUGACGGUACCUGCAGAAAAAGCGCCGGCUAACUACGUG